RNAcentral lists this ribosomal RNA (475 nucleotides) under uncultured bacterium. Its description in RNAcentral is "bacterial SSU rRNA". It matches the Rfam family "Bacterial small subunit ribosomal RNA", at positions 29 to 518 of the family's 1533-position model. The record is from RNAcentral.
AAUGAACGUUGGCGGCGUGGAUUAGGCAUGCGAGUCGUGCGAGAACCGUAGCAAUACGGGGACAGCGGCGAAAGGGAGAGGAACACGUGGAUACCUACCCUCAGGUUCAGGAUAGCUAUGGGAAACUAUAGGUAAUACUGAGUAAUAUCUCCGGAUCAAAGGUGUGAUUCCGCCGGAGGAGGGGUCCGCGUCCUAUUAGCUAGUUGGUGAGGUAAUGGCUCACCAAGGCGAAGAUGGGUACGGGAUGUGAGAACAUGAUCCCGCUCAUUGGGACUGAGACACUGCCCAGACACCUACGGGUGGCUGCAGUCGAGAAUCUUCGGCAAUGGGGGAAACCCUGACCGAGCGACGCCGCGUGUGAGAUGAAGGCCUCGGUUGUAAUCACUGUCGUAGAGGAGGAAGUGUAGGUGGGUUCGUCCCACUUAUUUGACUAUUCUAGGAGGAAGGACGGGCGUAAGUUCGUGCCAGCAGCCGC